Molecule: ribosomal RNA, 567 nt
Filed under: uncultured archaeon
Lineage: Archaea
Description: bacterial SSU rRNA
Rfam family: Archaeal small subunit ribosomal RNA
Source: RNAcentral
CGGGGUGCACCAGGCGCGAAAACUUUACAAUGCGGGAAACCGUGAUAAGGGGACACCGAGUGUCAGCAUCAUAUGCUGGCUGUCCAGGUGUGUAAAAUACACCUGUUAGCAAGGGCCGGGCAAGACCGGCGCCAGCCGCCGCGGUAACACCGGCGGCCCGAGUGGUGAUCGUGAUUAUUGGGUCUAAAGGGUCCGUAGCCGGUUUGGUCAGUCCUCCGGGAAAUCUGAUAGCUUAACUAUUAGGCUUUCGGAGGAUACUGCCAGACUUGGAACCGGGAGAGGUAAGAGGUACUACAGGGGUAGGAGUGAAAUCUUGUAAUCCCUGUGGGACCACCUGUGGCGAAGGCGUCUUACCAGAACGGGUUCGACGGUGAGGGACGAAAGCUGGGGGCACGAACCGGAUUAGAUACCCGGGUAGUCCCAGCCGUAAACGAUGCUCGCUAGGUGUCAGGCAUGGCGCGACCGUGUCUGGUGCCGCAGGGAAGCCGUGAAGCGAGCCACCUGGGAAGUACGGCCGCAAGGCUGAAACUUAAAGGAAUUGGCGGGGGAGCACAAGGGCGAUUCGCG